Molecule: unclassified non-coding RNA, 407 nt
Filed under: Hevea brasiliensis (rubber tree)
Lineage: Eukaryota; Viridiplantae; Streptophyta; Magnoliopsida; Malpighiales; Euphorbiaceae
Source: RNAcentral
UUUGUUAUCAGCAGAGAAUGAAACAGCGUUGCACGUGGUGUUAUGAUAUUUCAGAAUAGCCAGAGGCUUUCCUUUGCGAUAAUUGUAAAUCCUAACCCGUUGAUCCCAACCAGCAGUUGCAGCGAUUUUUCCAUCUGGACGGAUUGAGGUUCCAGAGAUGCCAGGUCGCUCAAAAACAAUUUCUUUUCUUAUCAAACAAGAACCCAUAGAAUGGUCCAAUGCAAACAUCAAAAUUUUCUCAUCAGCAGCACCAGAGAGACCACCUUUGCAUGCUCCAUCUAUGCAUAAGCUUAAAACUGGUUCUGAAUGAAGCUUGACGGAAGUCAAUGGGACUCCGGGAUUACGCAAGUCCCACCAAGCAAUGGAUCCAUCCUCGUACCCUGCCAUAACACUUAGGUGCCCCUGAG